UUCUCUGUGGCGCAAUCGGUUAGCGCGUUCGGCUGUUAACCGAAAGGUUCGUGGUUCAAGCCCACCCCGGACGAAG
RNAcentral lists this transfer RNA (76 nucleotides) under Saccoglossus kowalevskii. Its description in RNAcentral is "tRNA-Asn". The stretch from base 7 to 67 matches the Rfam family "tRNA", at positions 7 to 64 of the family's 71-position model. From Rfam's summary of the family: Transfer RNA (tRNA) molecules are approximately 80 nucleotides in length. Their secondary structure includes four short double-helical elements and three loops (D, anti-codon, and T loops). Lineage: Eukaryota; Metazoa; Hemichordata; Enteropneusta; Harrimaniidae. The record is from RNAcentral.